AGACCCGAAACCCGGUGAUCUAGCCAUGGGCAGGUUGAAGGUUGGGUAACACUAACUGGAGGACCGAACCGACUAAUGUUGAAAAAUUAGCGGAUGACCUGUGGCUGGGGGUGAAAGGCCAAUCAAACCGGGAGAUAGCUGGUUCUCCCCGAAAGCUAUUUAGGUAGCGCCUCGUGAAUUCAUCUCCGGGGGUAGAGCACUGUUUCGGCUAGGGGGCCAUCCCGGCUUACCAACCCGAUGCAAACUGCGAAUACCGGAGAAUGUUAUCACGGGAGACACACGGCGGGUGCUAACGUCCGUCGUGAAGAGGGAAACAACCCAGACCGCCAGCUAAGGUCCCAAAGUCAUGGUUAAGUGGGAAACGAUGUGGGAAGGCCCAGACAGCCAGGAUGUUGGCUUAGAAGCAGCCAUCAUUUAAAGAAAGCGUAAUAGCUCACUGGUCGAGUCGGCCUGCGCGGAAGAUGUAACGGGGCUAAACCAUGCACCGAAGCUGCGGCAGCGAACGUAUCACUUAAAGCGAUUCAGCGGGUUACGAUUGACGGAGCGAAGCGACGUCAAAGCGUAUACAAAGUCGAGUCGGUUUAAGGAUACGUUCGUUGGGUAGGGGAGCGUUCUGUAAGCCUGUGAAGGUGGCCUGUGAGGGUUGCUGGAGGUAUCAGAAGUGCGAAUGCUGACAUAAGUAACGAUAAAGCGGGUGAAAAGCCCGCUCGCCGGAAGACCAAGGGUUCCUGUCCAACGUUAAUCGGGGCAGGGUGAGUCGACCCCUAAGGCGAGGCCGAAAGGCGUAGUCGAUGGGAAACGGGUUAAUAUUCCCGUACUUGGUGUUACUGCGAAGGGGGGACGGAGAAGGCUAUGUUGGCCGGGCGACGGUUGUCCCGGUUUAAGCGUGUAGGUGUGUGUUCCAGGUAAAUCCGGUUCACUUUAACACUGAGGCGUGACGACGAGGCACUACGGUGCUGAAGCAACAAAUGCCCUGCUUCCAGGAAAAGCCUCUAAGCAUCAGGUAACAUCAAAUCGUACCCCAAACCGACACAGGUGGUCAGGUAGAGAAUACCAAGGCGCUUGAGAGAACUCGGGUGAAGGAACUAGGCAAAAUGGUGCCGUAACUUCGGGAGAAGGCACGCUGACAUGUAGGUGAAGUGAUUUACUCA
RNAcentral lists this ribosomal RNA (1151 nucleotides) under Salmonella enterica. RNAcentral describes it as "partial 23S ribosomal RNA". It matches the Rfam family "Bacterial large subunit ribosomal RNA", at positions 711 to 1773 of the family's 2925-position model. The record is from RNAcentral. Lineage: Bacteria; Pseudomonadati; Pseudomonadota; Gammaproteobacteria; Enterobacterales; Enterobacteriaceae.